GACCCGGUGGCGGAUGGUCCGCGCUUGCAUCUGAUAGUGCUGUGAUAGUGAUGUGACUUGAUGCAGGAGCGCUCGUUCGAAUCGAGGCUGGGUCG
Molecule: non-coding RNA, 95 nt
Organism: Mycena vitilis
Lineage: Eukaryota; Fungi; Basidiomycota; Agaricomycetes; Agaricales; Mycenaceae
Source: the annotation of a GenBank genome assembly